UGGGGAAUAUUGCACAAUGGGCGCAAGCCUGAUGCAGCCAUGCCGCGUGUGUGAAGAAGGCCUUCGGGUUGUAAAGCACUUUCAGCGGGGAGGAAGGCGAUAAGGUUAAUAACCUUGUCGAUUGACGUUACCCGCAGAAGAAGCACCGGCUAACUCCGUGCCAGCAGCCGCGGUAAUACGGAGGGUGCAAGCGUUAAUCGGAAUUACUGGGCGUAAAGCGCACGCAGGCGGUCUGUCAAGUAGGAUGUGAAAUCCCCGGGCUCAACCUGGGAACUGCAUUCGAAACUGGCAGGCUAGAGUCUUGUAGAGGGGGGUAGAAUUCCAGGUGUAGCGGUGAAAUGCGUAGAGAUCUGGAGGAAUACCGGUGGCGAAGGCGGCCCCCUGGACAAAGACUGACGCUCAGGUGCGAAAGCGUGGGGAGCAAACAGG
Molecule: ribosomal RNA, 429 nt
Filed under: Chloroflexota bacterium
Lineage: Bacteria; Bacillati; Chloroflexota
Description: Chloroflexi bacterium partial 16S ribosomal RNA
Rfam family: Bacterial small subunit ribosomal RNA
Source: RNAcentral